This 373-nucleotide ribosomal RNA is filed under the name uncultured bacterium. RNAcentral's name for it is "bacterial SSU rRNA". It matches the Rfam family "Bacterial small subunit ribosomal RNA", at positions 524 to 898 of the family's 1533-position model. The record is from RNAcentral.
UACGUAGGGGGCGAGCGUUAUCCGGAAUUACUGGGCGUAAAGGGUGCGUAGGCGGCUUUUUAAGUCAGAUGUGAAAGAGUACGGCUUAACCGUAUUUAGCAUAUGAAACUAAGAAGCUUGAGUGCAGGAGAGGAGAGUGGAAUUCCUAGUGUAGCGGUGAAAUGCGUAGAUAUUAGGAGGAACACCAGUGGCGAAGGCGACUCUCUGGACUGCAACUGACGCUGAGGCACGAAAGCGUGGGUAGCGAACAGGAUUAGAUACCCUGGUAGUCCACGCCGUAAACGAUGAGUGCUAGGUGUUGGGGGAGACAUCCUUCAGUGCCGCAGCUAACGCAUUAAGCACUCCGCCUGGGGAGUACGGUCGCAAGACUGAA